RNAcentral lists this long non-coding RNA (207 nucleotides) under Lathyrus oleraceus (garden pea). RNAcentral's name for it is "Pisum sativum (pea) long non-coding RNA (PSAT_LNC014593)". The record is from RNAcentral. Lineage: Eukaryota; Viridiplantae; Streptophyta; Magnoliopsida; Fabales; Fabaceae.
AAAAAUCCAUUUGAAAACUUCUUUGAUCUUGAAAAGUCAAGUUGAAAGUGGACCAAAAACUUGCCAAAUUAGGAAACUUUGAAUUAUAGGUCACUUUCCAUUUUUGGUAACUUUUGCCAUGACCUUUGAAUCUUCAAGAUGAAUGUUAAAAAUGAUGAAUGAACCUCUUUUGAACAUGAUUGAGGUGUCUCAACUCAUUUCCCCACC